Molecule: ribosomal RNA, 747 nt
Filed under: Salmonella enterica subsp. enterica serovar Kentucky str. 13562
Lineage: Bacteria; Pseudomonadati; Pseudomonadota; Gammaproteobacteria; Enterobacterales; Enterobacteriaceae
Also listed under: 1 other name
Description: bacterial LSU rRNA
Rfam family: Bacterial large subunit ribosomal RNA
Source: RNAcentral
CUUGUGGCUGGGGGUGAAAGGCCAAUCAAACCGGGAGAUAGCUGGUUCUCCCCGAAAGCUAUUUAGGUAGCGCCUCGUGAACUCAUCUUCGGGGGUAGAGCACUGUUUCGGCUAGGGGGUCAUCCCGACUUACCAACCCGAUGCAAACUGCGAAUACCGAAGAAUGUUAUCACGGGAGACACACGGCGGGUGCUAACGUCCGUCGUGAAGAGGGAAACAACCCAGACCGCCAGCUAAGGUCCCAAAGUCACAGUUAAGUGGGAAACGAUGUGGGAAGGCUCAGACAGCCAGGAUGUUGGCUUAGAAGCAGCCAUCAUUUAAAGAAAGCGUAAUAGCUCACUGGUCGAGUCGGCCUGCGCGGAAGAUGUAACGGGGCUAAACUGUGCACCGAAGCUGCGGCAGCGACGCUUAUGCGUUGUUGGGUAGGGGAGCGUUCUGUAAGCCUGCGAAGGUGUCCUGUGAGGGAUGCUGGAGGUAUCAGAAGUGCGAAUGCUGACAUAAGUAACGAUAAUGCGGGUGAAAAGCCCGCUCGCCGGAAGACCAAGGGUUCCUGUCCAACGUUAAUCGGGGCAGGGUGAGUCGACCCCUAAGGCGAGGCCGAAAGGCGUAGUCGAUGGGAAACGGGUUAAUAUUCCCGUACUUGGUGUUACUGCGAAGGGGGGACGGAGAAGGCUAUGUUGGCCGGGCGACGGUUGUCCCGGUUUAAGCGUGUAGGCUGGUUUUCCAGGCAAAUCCGGAAAAUCAAGG